This 746-nucleotide ribosomal RNA is filed under the name uncultured bacterium. RNAcentral describes it as "bacterial SSU rRNA". It matches the Rfam family "Bacterial small subunit ribosomal RNA", at positions 8 to 751 of the family's 1533-position model. The record is from RNAcentral.
AGAGUUUGAUCCUGGCUCAGAUUGAACGCUGGCGGCAGGCCUAACACGUGCAAGUCGAGCGAGAAAGCACUUCGGUGUGAGUACAGCGGCGGACGGGUGAGUAACGCGUAGGAAUCUACCUAGUAGUGGGGGACAACAUGUGGAAACGCAUGCUAAUACCGCAUACGCCCUAUGGGGGAAAGCAGGGGAUCUUCGGACCUUGCGCUAUUGGAUGAGCCUGCGUCAGAUUAGCUAGUUGGUGGGGUAAUGGCCUACCAAGGCAACGAUCUGUAGCUGGUCUGAGAGGAUGAUCAGCCACACUGGGACUGAGACACGGCCCAGACUCCUACGGGAGGCAGCAGUGGGGAAUAUUGGACAGUGGGCGAAAGCCUGAUCCAGCCAUGCCGCGUGUGUGAAGAAGGCUCUAGGGUUGUAAAGCACUUUCAGUAGGGAGGAAAAGUUAGUAGUUAAUAACUGCUAACCCUGACGUUACCUACAGAAGAAGCACCGGCAAACUCCGUGCCAGCAGCCGCGGUAAUACGGAGGGUGCGAGCGUUAAUCGGAAUUACUGGGCGUAAAGCGCGCGUAGGCGGUUUGAUAAGCUGGAUGUGAAAGCCCUGGGCUUAACCUGGGAACUGCAUCCAGAACUGUCUGACUAGAGUACAGUAGAGGUGAGUGGAAUUUCCUGUGUAGCGGUGAAAUGCGUAGAUAUAGGAAAGGAACAUCAGUGGCGAAGGCGGCUCACUGGACUGAUACUGACGCUGAGG